UACGUAGGGUGCAAGCGUUGUCCGGAAUUAUUGGGCGUAAAGGGCGCGUAGGCGGCCCUCUAAGUCAGACGUGAAAUCCCUCGGCUCAACCGGGGAACUGCGUCUGAGACUGGGGGGCUUGAAUCCGGGAGAGGGAUGUGGAAUUCCAGGUGUAGCGGUGAAAUGCGUAGAUAUCUGGAGGAACACCGGUGGCGAAGGCGGGUCUCUGGGCAGUAACUGACGCUGAGGAGCGAAAGCGUGGGGAGCGAACAGG
This 253-nucleotide ribosomal RNA is filed under the name uncultured bacterium. RNAcentral describes it as "partial 16S ribosomal RNA". It matches the Rfam family "Bacterial small subunit ribosomal RNA", at positions 524 to 776 of the family's 1533-position model. The record is from RNAcentral.